Molecule: microRNA, 21 nt
Filed under: Dictyostelium discoideum
Lineage: Eukaryota; Evosea; Eumycetozoa; Dictyosteliales; Dictyosteliaceae
Description: ddi-miR-7095-5p
Source: miRBase by way of RNAcentral
UUCCAUUUUUAACAGAUACAA